This 467-nucleotide ribosomal RNA is filed under the name uncultured bacterium. Its description in RNAcentral is "partial 16S ribosomal RNA". It matches the Rfam family "Bacterial small subunit ribosomal RNA", at positions 28 to 506 of the family's 1533-position model. The record is from RNAcentral.
GACGAACGCUGGCGGCGUGCUUAGCACAUGCAAGUCGAACGGAAAGGCCCUGCUUUUGUGGGGUGCUCGAGUGGCGAACGGGUGAGUAACACGUGAGUAACCUGCCCUUGACUUGGGGAUAACUUCAGGAAACUGGGGCUAAUACCGGAUAGGAGCUCCUGCUGCAUGGUGGGGGUUGGAAAGUUUCGGCGGUUGGGGAUGGACUCGCGGCUUAUCAGCUUGUUGGUGGGGUAGUGGCUUACCAAGGCUUUGACGGGUAGCCGGCCUGAGAGGGUGACCGGCCACAUUGGGACUGAGAUACGGCCCAGACUCCUACGGGAGGCAGCAGUGGGGAAUAUUGCACAAUGGGCGGAAGCCUGAUGCAGCAACGCCGCGUGCGGGAUGACGGCCUUCGGGUUGUAAACCGCUUUCGCCUGUGACGAAGCGUGAGUGACGGUAAUGGGUAAAGAAGCACCGGCUAACUACGU